This is a long non-coding RNA of Oreochromis niloticus (Nile tilapia), 850 nucleotides long. RefSeq lists it as uncharacterized. The transcript is spliced from 2 exons. The record is from RefSeq and is a predicted model, not a curated record. NCBI's taxonomy places the organism in Eukaryota, Metazoa, Chordata, Actinopteri, Cichliformes, Cichlidae.
CAGGAACGACCUUCUUUUGCUUCACGCUGACGGAUGAGUCGCGCUCGCUGCCCGUGCUCGUACAGGUACCAGCUCUCUGAGGAUGAUGAUGGUGAGGAGGGACGGCCUGAUGAAGCUCAGUGUGUGUGUGUGUGUGUGUGUGUGUGUGUGUGUGUGUGUGUCUGCAGCUGUUCUUUGUGUUGUUGCUGGAUCGUUGCCUCAGGGGGAAAGUUGUGUGUGUGUUGAACAUGCAGACUAACAGAGACUGCAGCUGUCAGCAGCCACACACACUUUAUAUUCUUCAAAUCAAAUCACAGUGAAACAUGUUCACUGACAGCUCAGCUUCAGCAUCUUAUUCAUGCUGUGACUGCAGCCGUUCAACUCUGUUUCUCUUUAACCCAAAUCAUCACAACAUGGAAAUACAAUCAUCAAAAUGAUGUGACUGGAAGGAUGCAGCAGUCUGUGCUCCACCUUUCUCCUCCACACCUGCAGGUGGAGAACAUGGAUGCAUGAAUCUCUACAGAGUUCUUUGAAUAUUAUCCGUCUUAUCAGUUUUCAGUGAACAAAAAUCCUCACAGAGCCAAAAUAAGCAGUUUGUAUCCAACAUAACUCAGCUGGACUCUGAUGCUCCGUAUAACAGCCACACAUGAGUCUGGAUUCACUCAAAGCAUUGAACAAACUUUAUUGUAAAUGAAGCUUUUGGACAUUUAUUCUCUGAUAUUUGCUCUUCAGCUCGAGUCUCCAUCAGUGGGAACAUUUCCUGAUUCAACUUUUCUUCUGUUCAAAUCAAACUCCAUGAGAAUCAAAGUGUGAAUCAGAGUCCUGAUGAUCAGAUUCUAUAGAAACAUGGAGACUGUAGAGGAUUUACACU